Molecule: small RNA, 85 nt
Filed under: Flavobacterium aquidurense
Lineage: Bacteria; Pseudomonadati; Bacteroidota; Flavobacteriia; Flavobacteriales; Flavobacteriaceae
Description: Flavo-1 RNA
Rfam family: Flavo-1 RNA
Source: RNAcentral
AUUUAGCCCCGAUAGCAGCGGUAUCCUUUUUUGUCUCGUUUGGAGAACGAGACAAAAAAGAUACAAGCGGAUAGCGGGACGAAAG